This 385-nucleotide ribosomal RNA is filed under the name uncultured bacterium. RNAcentral describes it as "bacterial SSU rRNA". It matches the Rfam family "Bacterial small subunit ribosomal RNA", at positions 29 to 417 of the family's 1533-position model. The record is from RNAcentral.
AUUGAACGCUGGCGGCAUGCCUUACACAUGCAAGUCGAACGGCAGCACGGGAGCAAUCCUGGUGGCGAGUGGCGAACGGGUGAGUAAUAUAUCGGAACGUGUCCAGUUGUGGGGGAUAGCCCGGCGAAAGCCGGAUUAAUACCGCAUACGACCUACGGGUGAAAGCGGGGAUCGCAAGACCUCGCGCUAUUGGAGCGGCCGAUGUCAGAUUAGCUUGUUGGUGGGGAAAAGCCUACCAAGGCGACGAUCUGUAGCUGGUCUGAGAGGACGACCAGCCACACUGGGACUGAGACACGGCCCAGACUCCUACGGGAGGCAGCAGUGGGGAAUUUUGGACAAUGGGCGCAAGCCUGAUCCAGCCAUGCCGCGUGCGGGAAGAAGGCCU